Molecule: ribosomal RNA, 256 nt
Filed under: uncultured bacterium
Lineage: Bacteria
Description: partial 16S ribosomal RNA
Rfam family: Bacterial small subunit ribosomal RNA
Source: RNAcentral
CGGGUGAGUAACGCGUAUGCGACCUGCCCGUUGCAGGGGGAUAAUCGGGAGAAAUCCCGUCUAAUACCGCGUAAUGCCGCGGGGGCUGCAUGGCCCUGCGGCCAAAGGGAGCGAUUCCGGCAACGGAUGGGCAUGCGUGACAUUAGCUAGUUGGCGGGGCAACGGCCCACCAAGGCGACGAUGUCUAGGGGUUCUGAGAGGAAGGUCCCCCACACUGGUACUGAGACACGGACCAGACUCCUACGGGAGGCAGCAG